Molecule: long non-coding RNA, 693 nt
Filed under: Monodelphis domestica (gray short-tailed opossum)
Lineage: Eukaryota; Metazoa; Chordata; Mammalia; Didelphimorphia; Didelphidae
Description: lncRNA (ENSMODG00000034295.2)
Source: RNAcentral
AUGGAGCCUGUCUUCUCAGGGCUUCCUCCCACUCAUCUCACACAUACACACACACACACACACACACACACACACACACACGCCUUCCUCAGCGGUAUGGAGGUCACCCACCAUCUUAGAAUCUUCACCACCUUUUUUUUCUUCCCCCCACCAUUAACAGAUUUUAACAGUUUACAGGUAUACAGCUGUCGUCCCAACAAUCCCAUAAGGAUACCUGGUAUUAUCUCAGCUGAUUCUCACAGUAAACCCAUAAGCUGAUACCUGGACCGACUCAGGAAACAGAAGAGAGCUGGCUGUUAUAACAUUUACCAACAUACCCCUGCCCAAAGCCUUGCAAAGAAAAGAAAAAGACAAGCCAUGAUGAAAAACAGGGUGGUUUGAGUGGAAAAAGUCCUAGGAUGAAGAAUCAGAAAAUUCUACUUCUGGAUUCACCUGUGCCACUUAUUUGGGCCAGUAACUUAUCCUCGCUGAAUCUCAACUUGCUUGACUGUAAAAUGGGAAUGAUGCUACCUGUCCUACUUAACUUUAUAGUGUUGUUGUAAAAAUUAAAUGAAGUCAUGGCAUAAAAAUGCUUUGUAAAGUGUUUUCCUUUCCUAUUGGAACUGCUUAGGCUAUUAUUCGAUCCUAUCUUUACAGUUGCUUCACCCACUAUUUUGACCAAGAUGAAUAAAAGGUAAGUUACGGUUCUGUCCA